RNAcentral lists this small RNA (57 nucleotides) under Sinorhizobium meliloti 2011. RNAcentral describes it as "putative ncRNA". Lineage: Bacteria; Pseudomonadati; Pseudomonadota; Alphaproteobacteria; Hyphomicrobiales; Rhizobiaceae. The record is from RNAcentral.
GUCGUGCGCGUGCGGUGCGAAUUCAUGCGUGAUGAAGGUCGCGCUCAGGCACUCCAU